UUGUUUAAGCAGAAGCGCCCGCUUCUCACCUGAUCGAUGAACAGUCGGCUGGUUGCGAUGAACGAAGUAUGUAAUUAACUUUGAUCAUAAGGAUGUGGGCCUUUGCGCCUGCAUCCUUUUUAUUAUGC
Regulatory RNA element from Paenibacillus swuensis, 128 nucleotides. It matches the Rfam family "Ribosomal protein L20 leader". Rfam says of the family: This family is a putative r-protein leader autoregulatory structure found in B. subtilis and other low-GC Gram-positive bacteria. It is located in the 5' untranslated regions of mRNAs encoding initiation factor 3 followed by ribosomal proteins L35 and L20 (infC-rpmI-rplT). A Rho-independent transcription terminator structure that is probably involved in regulation is included at the 3' end. NCBI's taxonomy places the organism in Bacteria, Bacillati, Bacillota, Bacilli, Caryophanales, Paenibacillaceae. The record is from Rfam.